GAAACGACUGCUAAUACCGCAUAAGCCCACGGCUCGGCAUCGAGCAGAGGGAAAAGGAGUGAUCCGCUUUGAGAUGGCCUCGCGUCCGAUUAGCUAGUUGGUGAGGUAACGGCCCACCAAGGCGACGAUCGGUAGCCGGACUGAGAGGUUGAACGGCCACAUUGGGACUGAGACACGGCCCAGACUCCUACGGGAGGCAGCAGUGGGGAAUAUUGCACAAUGGGGGAAACCCUGAUGCAGCGACGCCGCGUGGAGGAAGAAGGUCUUCGGAUUGUAAACUCCUGUUGUUGAGGAAGAUAAUGACGGUACUCAACAAGGAAGUGACGGCUAACUACGUGCCAGCAGCCGCGGUAAAACGUAGGUCACAAGCGUUGUCCGGAAUUACUGGGUGUAAAGGGAGCGCAGGCGGGAGAACAAGUUGGAAGUGAAAUCCGUGGGCUCAACCCAUGAACUGCUUUCAAAACUGUUUUUCUUGAGUAGUGCAGAGGUAGGCGGAAUUCCCGGUGUAGCGGUGGAAUGCGUAGAUAUCGGGAGGAACACCAGUGGCGAAGGCGGCCUACUGGGCACCAACUGACGCUGAGGCUCGAAAGUGUGGGUAGCAAACAGGAUUAGAUACCCUGGUAGUCCACACCGUAAACGAUGAUUACUAGGUGUUGGAGGAUUGACCCCUUCAGUG
RNAcentral lists this ribosomal RNA (676 nucleotides) under uncultured bacterium. RNAcentral describes it as "bacterial SSU rRNA". It matches the Rfam family "Bacterial small subunit ribosomal RNA", at positions 153 to 845 of the family's 1533-position model. The record is from RNAcentral.